This 187-nucleotide ribosomal RNA is filed under the name uncultured bacterium. Its description in RNAcentral is "partial 16S rRNA". It matches the Rfam family "Bacterial small subunit ribosomal RNA", at positions 338 to 522 of the family's 1533-position model. The record is from RNAcentral.
CCUACGGGGGGCGGCAGUGAGGAAUAUUGGGCAAUGGCCGUAAGGCUGACCCAGCAACGCCGCGUGGAGGAAGAAGGCCGUAAGGUUGUAAACUCCUGUUAGAGGGGACGAAAAAGCGGGGCAGCACCCUGCAUUGACUGUACCCUCAGAGAAAGCCCCGGCUAACUACGUGCCAGCAGCCCCGGUC